GGCCCUAUCGUCUAGCCUGGUCCAGGACGGAGGCUUUUCAAGCCUUAAACCCGGGUUCGAAUCCCGGUAGGGUCACCA
Molecule: transfer RNA, 78 nt
Filed under: Patescibacteria group bacterium
Lineage: Bacteria
Description: tRNA-Glu
Rfam family: tRNA
About the family: Transfer RNA (tRNA) molecules are approximately 80 nucleotides in length. Their secondary structure includes four short double-helical elements and three loops (D, anti-codon, and T loops).
Source: RNAcentral